Molecule: unclassified non-coding RNA, 371 nt
Filed under: soil metagenome
Description: partial contains 5.8S ribosomal RNA, internal transcribed spacer 2, and large subunit ribosomal RNA
Rfam family: 5.8S ribosomal RNA (bases 2-119)
Source: RNAcentral
GUGAAGAACGCAGCGAAAUGCGAUAAGUAAUGUGAAUUGCAGAAUUCAGUGAAUCAUCGAAUCUUUGAACGCACAUUGCGCCCGGCAGCAAUCUGCCGGGCAUGCCUGUCCGAGCGUCAUUUCUUCCCUCGAGCGCGGCUAGCCCUACGGGGCCUGCCGUCGCCCGGUGUUGGGGCUCUACGGGUGGGGCUCGUCCCCCCCGCAGUCCCCGAAAUGUAGUGGCGGUCCAGCCGCGGCGCCCCCUGCGUAGUAGAUCCUACAUCUCGCAUCGGGUCCCGGCGAAGGCCAGCCGUCGAACCUUUUAUUUCAUGGUUUGACCUCGGAUCAGGUAGGGUUACCCGCUGAACUUAAGCAUAUCAAUAAGCGGAGGA